Molecule: unclassified non-coding RNA, 220 nt
Filed under: plant metagenome
Description: partial contains small subunit ribosomal RNA, internal transcribed spacer 1, and 5.8S ribosomal RNA
Source: RNAcentral
UUUCCGUAGGUGAACCUGCGGAAGGAUCAUUACAGAGUUCAUGCCCUCACGGGUAGAUCUCCCACCCUUGAAUAUUUAUACCUUAGUUGCUUUGGCAGGCCAUGGAAACACCAUGGGCUCCGGCUUAUGCGUGCCUGCCAGAGGAAACAAACUCUGUUUUUAGUGGUGUCUGAGUACUAUAUAAUAGUUAAAACUUUCAACAACGGAUCUCUUGGUUCUG